Molecule: ribosomal RNA, 526 nt
Filed under: uncultured bacterium
Lineage: Bacteria
Description: bacterial SSU rRNA
Rfam family: Bacterial small subunit ribosomal RNA
Source: RNAcentral
CUUUGACAACUCUAGAGAUAGAGUCUUCCCCUUCGGGGGACAAAGUGACAGGUGGUGCAUGGUUGUCGUCAGCUCGUGUCGUGAGAUGUUGGGUUAAGUCCCGCAACGAGCGCAACCCUUAAGCUUAGUUGCCAGCAUUAAGUUGGGCACUCUAAGUUGACUGCCGGUGACAAACCGGAGGAAGGUGGGGAUGACGUCAAAUCAUCAUGCCCCUUAUGAUUUGGGCUACACACGUGCUACAAUGGACAAUACAAAGGGCAGCUAAACCGCGAGGUCAUGCAAAUCCCAUAAAGUUGUUCUCAGUUCGGAUUGUAGUCUGCAACUCGACUACAUGAAGCUGGAAUCGCUAGUAAUCGUAGAUCAGCAUGCUACGGUGAAUACGUUCCCGGGUCUUGUACACACCGCCCGUCACACCACGAGAGUCUGUAACACCCGAAGCCGGUGGAGUAACCAUUUAUGGAGCUAGCCGUCGAAGGUGGGACAAAUGAUUGGGGUGAAGUCGUAACAAGGUAGCCGUAUCGGAAGG